This is a long non-coding RNA of Dalotia coriaria, 310 nucleotides long. RefSeq lists it as uncharacterized. The record is from RefSeq and is a predicted model, not a curated record. NCBI's taxonomy places the organism in Eukaryota, Metazoa, Arthropoda, Insecta, Coleoptera, Staphylinidae. The transcript is spliced from 2 exons.
CUUGGAUUGGCUUUGUCCUGCGCAGGACGAUAGAAAGAAUCGGAAAAUUAUCCGUGAAGCAAACAACAAUGUUAAGGGGAAAGGCUGGAUGGAAUUUACCAACAAAUUUAUGCAUUUUGUGAUAAAAUGCUGCCAUAAGUUUUUGGAUAAUCAGAUCACUGCAAGGUUAAACCAAAGGACCAAAUUGUCGCAUAUUGAAAUGGGUUUUGCCUUGAAACUUAUUCCAGAAUAUAUAAUGCACAUGAAAGUUAAAAUUCGAUAGGUUUGUACAAAAGUUCCUAGAAAGUAAUAAACUCGAAAUAUUUGAAAA